Molecule: ribosomal RNA, 969 nt
Filed under: Escherichia coli
Lineage: Bacteria; Pseudomonadati; Pseudomonadota; Gammaproteobacteria; Enterobacterales; Enterobacteriaceae
Description: bacterial LSU rRNA
Rfam family: Bacterial large subunit ribosomal RNA
Source: RNAcentral
CUAAGUACCCCGAGGAAAAGAAAUCAACCGAGAUUCCCCCAGUAGCGGCGAGCGAACGGGGAGGAGCCCAGAGCCUGAAUCAGUGUGUGUGUUAGUGGAAGCGUCUGGAAAGGCGCGCGAUACAGGGUGACAGCCCCGUACACAAAAAUGCACAUAUUGUGAGCUCGAUGAGUAGGGCGGGACACGUGGUAUCCUGUCUGAAUAUGGGGGGACCAUCCUCCAAGGCUAAAUACUCCUGACUGACCGAUAGUGAACCAGUACCGUGAGGGAAAGGCGAAAAGAACCCCGGCGAGGGGAGUGAAAAAGAACCUGAAACCGUGUACGUACAAGCAGUGGGAGCCUCUUAAUGGGGUGACUGCGUACCUUUUGUAUAAUGGGUCAGCGACUUAUAUUCUGUAGCAAGGUUAACCGAAUAGGGGAGCCGAAGGGAAACCGAGUCUUAACUGGGCGUUAAGUUGCAGGGUAUAGACCCGAAACCCGGUGAUCUAGCCAUGGGCAGGUUGAAGGUUGGGUAACACUAACUGGAGGACCGAACCGACUAAUGUUGAAAAAUUAGCGGAUGACUUGUGGCUGGGGGUGAAAGGCCAAUCAAACCGGGAGAUAGCUGGUUCUCCCCGAAAGCUAUUUAGGUAGCGCCUCGUGAAUUCAUCUCCGGGGGUAGAGCACUGUUUCGGCAAGGGGGUCAUCCCGACUUACCAACCCGAUGCAAACUGCGAAUACCGGAGAAUGUUAUCACGGGAGACACACGGCGGGUGCUAACGUCCGUCGUGAAGAGGGAAACAACCCAGACCGCCAGCUAAGGUCCCAAAGUCAUGGUUAAGUGGGAAACGAUGUGGGAAGGCCCAGACAGCCAGGAUGUUGGCUUAGAAGCAGCCAUCAUUUAAAGAAAGCGUAAUAGCUCACUGGUCGAGUCGGCCUGCGCGGAAGAUGUAACGGGGCUAAACCAUGCACCGAAGCUGCGGCAGCGAC